ACGAACGCUGGCGGCGUGCUUCACCCCUGCAAGUCGAACGGAAAGGCCCUGCUUGCAGGGUACUCGAGUGGCGAACGGGUGAGUAACACGUGGGUGAUCUGCCCUGCACUUCGGGAUAAGCCUGGGAAACUGGGUCUAAUACCGGAUAGGAGCCAUUUUUAGUGUGAUGGUUGGAAAGUUUUUUCGGUGUAGGAUGAGCUCGCGGCCUAUCAGCUUGUUGGUGGGGUAAUGGCCUACCAAGGCGGCGACGGGUAGCCGGCCUGAGAGGGUGGACGGCCACAUUGGGACUGAGAUACGGCCCAGACUCCUACGGGAGGCAGCAGUGGGGAAUAUUGCACAAUGGGCGCAAGCCUGAUGCAGCGACGCCGCGUGGGGGAUGACGGCCUUCGGGUUGUAAACUCCUUUCGCUAGGGACGAAGCUUUUUGUGACGGUACCUAGAUAAGAAGCACCGGCUAACUACGUG
RNAcentral lists this ribosomal RNA (464 nucleotides) under uncultured bacterium. RNAcentral describes it as "partial 16S ribosomal RNA". It matches the Rfam family "Bacterial small subunit ribosomal RNA", at positions 29 to 507 of the family's 1533-position model. The record is from RNAcentral.